Molecule: long non-coding RNA, 1420 nt
Organism: Canis lupus familiaris (dog)
Lineage: Eukaryota; Metazoa; Chordata; Mammalia; Carnivora; Canidae
Exons: 2
Source: RefSeq, a predicted model, not a curated record
UGGCGCGGCGCCGAGGCGGCGGGAGACGACCUCCAGGCUGGGGCCCUCUCCUGGGGCAGCCGAGGCCCUGGUCUGCACGGGGCGGGGCUGCGAGGCCGCAGGACCCGAGAGCUGCAGGCCCAGGCCCAGCUGGCCCGUGGUGUGGGCCGCGGUGGCGGGACAGCCCUCCCCGACAGGUGUCUGCCUCCCCGACAGGUGACCCUCCCCGACAGGUUGCAUUAAAAGCUGCGUUUUCCAACACAUCUGGGCAUCCCCCACCAGCGCUGGGGCCGUGGGGUCCUGGCUUCUCUUUGUCCUGAUCCUGGAGCCCGAGGGCAGUAGGCUGCCCCACCGCCUUCUUCCCCUGGCAGCUCCACCGAGUCUGGACUCCCAUGAUUGACUCGGGGCUUAAACUUCUGAUGUGAAGUUGUACAUUUUUAUGAAAUCUGUCCAUCUCUUUGUGGUUUAUAGCCAUGAUUUUUUUUUUGCCCCAUUCCGCGUUCUGAAUAAUGGCAUUGACACAACAGCUUUUAUUUGCUUCUUACAAUUUGAUUUUUUUUUACAUGUAAUUUGUUCCUUAUAAUUUUCAAAUAUCUUAAAAUUGUGAAAAUUAACAUGUGUUUAAUAUAGACAAUGCAGAAAAAUGUAGAGGAAAACGAAAAUCUUCUGUAAUCUCCCAAAAACCUCACUUUGGAUGUUUUGGGGGCGCUGCAUCAAGAGAGAUAUGAUUGAGACUUCCUCUUGACAACUUCAGUGCCCUUCUGCGUAUUCACCUGUCCUGGCAGGAGCUGUUAGACACGUGAUUCCACAGACACCUGAGGUCCUGCUGUGCAUCAUGCAGGUCGAGGGGUAUAAAGCUUGACAGUUUCUCUCAAAGAACAUUGUGGACUAGAAUGUGUGGAACAGACCGUCGUGCAGAAGAGCAGCUGCACUCCACGGGGACCACAUCCUGGGAAUCUUCCGGAAAUGCCGCCGGCACCCUGAGCUAGGCUGGCUGUCCCCUCCCAGGGACCUGUCUGUCCUUGUACCUUUGUAAUAUCCAGGGCACCUGGCUGAGGCUACUCGCUGCCCUCAUGGGUCUUUUAUCAAAAUGAUCUAGGCUACUGGUAUUUUUUUUUUAAACUUCCAGAUGACUAUUAGAAUAACUGUGAGAUUUAUGCCCCAAAAAACUCAAAGUCAUUUUCAUAAGAAAUGUACUAAAUCUAUAAAUUUGGGAGAAAGUGUAUCUUUACAAUAUUUAUUCUUACAUCUCUAUAGAUUUUUAUGUUGUAUAUCUCCUACUGAGCUGUAUAGGUUCUUAGGUUUUUUAGGGUUAUUACUGUUGUUUUGGAGGGCAUUUUUCCACUGUUAUGAAUGAGAGUCCCCCAUGAUAUUAUCUAAAUCUAACUGCUGAGUGUUGAUACACAGAUUCCUAGGAAAUAAAAGCUUGUUUGGGCAAUUA